CAGCAUGAACUUAGCUUGCUAAGUUUGAUGGCGACCGGCGCACGGGUGAGUAACACGUAUCCAACCUGCCGAUGACUCGGGGAUAGCCUUUCGAAAGAAAGAUUAAUACCCGAUGGCAUAGUUCUUCCGCAUGGUAGAACUAUUAAAGAAUUUCGGUCAUCGAUGGGGAUGCGUCCGAUUAGGCAGCAGGCGGGGCAACGGCCCACCUGGCCGACGAUCGGUAGGGGUCCUGAGAGGGAGGCCCCCACACUGGGACUGAGACACGGCCCAGACUCC
RNAcentral lists this ribosomal RNA (276 nucleotides) under uncultured bacterium. RNAcentral describes it as "partial 16S ribosomal RNA". It matches the Rfam family "Bacterial small subunit ribosomal RNA", at positions 68 to 339 of the family's 1533-position model. The record is from RNAcentral.